Molecule: long non-coding RNA, 1954 nt
Organism: Cyprinus carpio carpio
Lineage: Eukaryota; Metazoa; Chordata; Actinopteri; Cypriniformes; Cyprinidae
Source: Ensembl
AACAUUUUUUCAUAAAUUUUGUGCGGGUACAGUUUAUAAAUUUAUUUUAUUUGAACUCAAAAACAGUUAAUGCUGGUGUACCAGGCCAAUUAUGGUUGUUAAUAUUGUUCAAUAAAAAAAAAUUAAAAAAUUAAAAAAAACUCAAAAACAAUGACUGCUGGCGCUUUUAGUGUAAUCCAGUAACCUCAUUGGUUGUUUUUAAAAUGGGCGUGGGUUUGACGUGAGAGGAAUAAAAGGCGCCGAGACCCUCCUUUCGUCCAUUUUGUUGCAGCUUCUCUUCUGGUAAGGUGUUCCGCUAUGUUUUCAUUACAUGUACUGUAGUUGUUCUGUGUUUUAUUUCGCUUUCUUCUACAAAGGGGACCUACGUUAUAUACAUAUAUCCCCUUUUUCUUUCUUAGUAUGCAUUUUAAGGUUUAUUUGAGGUCACAGGCCUUUAGUAAACACACCUCUGCGUGUUUCUGUUCCUGUGGCCCACGAGCCCCUGAUGUGUAUCUGAAACCAUCAUGGCUUACCUUUUGCGAAUAUUUGAAACUUCACCAUUAUUAUCAAAGCUGACUUGUUACUACGAUAGAAUUAAGUCAUAUUUACUACUGGUUUGGUUUUUUUUUUUUUUUUAAUGCUUUGGCGAGAUCUCUCAAUGAUGAUAACUCACAGACCUGUACUGAAAUACUGUGAUUGCACUUUAUUUAUCUGAGGAGAGACCGACGUGAAUUUAUUACAUUUUUUUACGAUAAGAGUGUUCUGGAAGCUUCAGAUGCAAACACGUGUUUUAACUAGAGGUUUUUCUUUUGCAGCAAUGGCGACUGCGACGAGCAUGGCCUCAUGGGAAGUUUCCAUGCAGGCUGCUGGGAUGAGCAGGCGGAAAUCUAUUAAAUUUAAGGGCUCCUUCACGUGAUCUUGGAGGGCAUGGUGACCAUAGAUGUUGUAUUGAUCAUCCCACUUUGUCUUGGUGAUGAUGGUGUGGCUAUAAAGAUGUUCAUGUAGUGUUGGAACAAAAUGGCUUUUUCAGCAAGAACCUGCAACUCCCUAAGGACUGUUAUUUGUCCAAAACAAAGUGGGUCAAGUCCUUUGCUGGUAUUAGGUUGCAUACCUGAAAUACUCCGCAGGUGGCACAUCUGAGAUGAGACAUUCACAGGACUACAGUGGAUUCUUGAAGUCCUUCCCCCUUGAGCAUACUAUAACAGACUGCAGUGAAUUUUCCCUCAGAGUUCUUUACCCCUUGAGCGUACUGAAGCUGGUGUUGCUACUGUCCAUCCAGGUUGUCCCAGUGUCACUUGAUUGCUGGUGUUCUGUUGACUUUUAAAGGUUUGUAUUUUGUAUCAGCUUUUGAAAGUUUAGUUUUACUUUUUAAUGAUGACAUUUAUCGCCCCAGUCUGAUGUGUUAUGACUGAUUGAUGAUUCUGAUAAAUCUAGAAAUAUUUAAAGGUGCUGAUUUAAGAGACUUUUACUGACACUCUUUAUCUCCCCCAGGUCACGUAAACUGCAUCAGAAGUUGAACUGGCUGACACACUGAUCUGUGUCCUUGUACAUCUGCUUAACUGGAGUGUUGGCUGAAUGGUGUUAUUGACUGACGAUAUAAAUGGAAUGUGUUUCCUUUGUAUUCUUUAUUCAAAAGCUGCUUGCAAAAUAAAUGGCUUUACUGAAUUUGCGGUUUCAAUUCCUGUUUUGUGUCCCUGAGUCUUCAACCUUUUGCAUUCGUUUGUAUCAGAACUUAAUUUCUCUAAAUGGAAAAGUGACACUUUGCAGUAAACUUUAGCUUGUAAUGCUUGAGACAUCAUGAACCAACAAAUAGCAUUUAAUUGUAGAAUGUUUGCUCAAACUUAUACAACUUGACUAUUCACAGCACUUAAUAUAAAAGUAGUGUUCAAUGUUAGGUUAAUGUGUUAAGGUAAGAUUUGAACUAAAGCAAAAAGUACUUAACAAAACGAGCUGAGGUCCAAAAAAUACCCCUUAA